RNAcentral lists this ribosomal RNA (981 nucleotides) under Onishia taeanensis. Its description in RNAcentral is "bacterial SSU rRNA". It matches the Rfam family "Bacterial small subunit ribosomal RNA", at positions 56 to 1027 of the family's 1533-position model. Lineage: Bacteria; Pseudomonadati; Pseudomonadota; Gammaproteobacteria; Oceanospirillales; Halomonadaceae. The record is from RNAcentral.
UGCAAGUCGAGCGGAAACGAACCUAGCUUGCUAGGAGGCGUCGAGCGGCGGACGGGUGAGUAAUGCAUAGGAAUCUGCCCGGUAGUGGGGGAUAACUUGGGGAAACUCAAGCUAAUACCGCAUACGCCCUACGGGGGAAAGCAGGGGAUCUUCGGACCUUGCGCUAUCGGAUGAGCCUAUGUCGGAUUAGCUAGUUGGUGAGGUAAUGGCUCACCAAGGCAACGAUCCGUAGCUGGUCUGAGAGGAUGAUCAGCCACACUGGGACUGAGACACGGCCCAGACUCCUACGGGAGGCAGCAGUGGGGAAUAUUGGACAAUGGGCGAAAGCCUGAUCCAGCCAUGCCGCGUGUGUGAAGAAGGCUUUCGGGUUGUAAAGCACUUUCAGCGAGGAAGAAGGCUUGGCGGUUAAUACCUGCCAGGAAGGACAUCACUCGCAGAAGAAGCACCGGCUAACUCCGUGCCAGCAGCCGCGGUAAUACGGAGGGUGCAAGCGUUAAUCGGAAUUACUGGGCGUAAAGCGCGCGUAGGUGGCUUGAUAAGCCGGUUGUGAAAGCCCCGGGCUCAACCUGGGAACUGCAUCCGGAACUGUUAGGCUAGAGUGCAGGAGAGGAAGGUAGAAUUCCCGGUGUAGCGGUGAAAUGCGUAGAGAUCGGGAGGAAUACCAGUGGCGAAGGCGGCCUUCUGGACUGACACUGACACUGAGGUGCGAAAGCGUGGGUAGCAAACAGGAUUAGAUACCCUGGUAGUCCACGCCGUAAACGAUGUCGACUAGCCGUUGGGAGCCUUGAGUUCUUAGUGGCGCAGCUAACGCAAUAAGUCGACCGCCUGGGGAGUACGGCCGCAAGGUUAAAACUCAAAUGAAUUGACGGGGGCCCGCACAAGCGGUGGAGCAUGUGGUUUAAUUCGAUGCAACGCGAAGAACCUUACCUACUCUUGACAUCGUGCGAACUUGGUAGAGAUACCUUUGGUGCCUUCGGGAGC